RNAcentral lists this ribosomal RNA (487 nucleotides) under uncultured bacterium. RNAcentral describes it as "bacterial SSU rRNA". It matches the Rfam family "Bacterial small subunit ribosomal RNA", at positions 28 to 496 of the family's 1533-position model. The record is from RNAcentral.
GACAAACGCUGGCGGCGUGCUUAACACAUGCAAGUCGAACGGUCUCACUUCGGUGAGAUAGUGGCGGACGGGUGAGUAACACGUAGUUAACCUACCGUUUAGUGGGGAAUAACCCCUCGAAAGAGGAGCUAAUACCGCAUAAGCUCUCUUAUGUUAGUAGGAGAGGAAACCCUUUUCGCAAGAGAGGGGGCUAAAUGAUGGGACUGCGGCGGAUUAGCUAGAUGGUGGGGUAAAGGCCUACCAUGGCGACGAUCCGUAGCUGGUCUGAGAGGACGACCAGCCACACUGGGACUGAGAUACGGCCCAGACUCCUACGGGAGGCAGCAGUGAGGAAUAUUCCACAAUGGGCGAAAGCCUGAUGGAGCGACGCCGCGUGAGGGAAGAAGUCCGUUUUCGGGGUACGUUAAACCCCUUUUCUUGGGGGAUGAAUACGGUCGGGAGCCGCAAGGUGGCUCGACUAGGACAGUACCCGAGGAAUAAGCAUCGG